CAUAGGUUAAUGAGGCGAACCGGGGGAACUGAAACAUCUAAGUACCCCGAGGAAAAGAAAUCAACCGAGAUUCCCCCAGUAGCGGCGAGCGAACGGGGAGCAGCCCAGAGCCUGAAUCAGUAUGUGUGUUAGUGGAAGCGUCUGGAAAGGCGCGCGAUACAGGGUGACAGCCCCGUACACAAAAAUGCACAUGCUGUGAGCUCGAUGAGUAGGGCGGGACACGUGGUAUCCUGUCUGAAUAUGGGGGGACCAUCCUCCAAGGCUAAAUACUCCUGACUGACCGAUAGUGAACCAGUACCGUGAGGGAAAGGCGAAAAGAACCCCGGCGAGGGGAGUGAAAAAGAACCUGAAACCGUGUACGUACAAGCAGUGGGAGCACGCUUAGGCGUGUGACUGCGUACCUUUUGUAUAAUGGGUCAGCGACUUAUAUUCUGUAGCAAGGUUAACCGAAUAGGGGAGCCGAAGGGAAACCGAGUCUUAACUGGGCGUUAAGUUGCAGGGUAUAGACCCGAAACCCGGUGAUCUAGCCAUGGGCAGGUUGAAGGUUGGGUAACACUAACUGGAGGACCGAACCGACUAAUGUUGAAAAAUUAGCGGAUGACUUGUGGCUGGGGGUGAAAGGCCAAUCAAACCGGGAGAUAGCUGGUUCUCCCCGAAAGCUAUUUAGGUAGCGCCUCGUGAAUUCAUCUCCGGGGGUAGAGCACUGUUUCGGCAAGGGGGUCAUCCCGACUUACCAACCCGAUGCAAACUGCGAAUACCGGAGAAUGUUAUCACGGGAGACACACGGCGGGUGCUAACGUCCGUCGUGAAGAGGGAAACAACCCAGACCGCCAGCUAAGGUCCCAAAGUCAUGGUUAAGUGGGAAACGAUGUGGGAAGGCCCAGACAGCCAGGAUGUUGGCUUAGAAGCAGCCAUCAUUUAAAGAAAGCGUAAUAGCUCACUGGUCGAGUCGGCCUGCGCGGAAGAUGUAACGGGGCUAAACCAUGCACCGAAGCUGCGGCAGCGACGCUGAUGCGUUGUUGGGUAGGGGAGCGUUCUGUAAGCCUGCGAAGGUGUGCUGUGAGGCAUGCUGGAGGUAUCAGAAGUGCGAAUGCUGACAUAAGUAACGAUAAAGCGGGUGAAAAGCCCGCUCGCCGGAAGACCAAGGGUUCCUGUCCAACGUUAAUCGGGGCAGGGUGAGUCGACCCCUAAGGCGAGGCCGAAAGGCGUAGUCGAUGGGAAACAGGUUAAUAUUCCUGUACUUGGUGUUACUGCGAAGGGGGGACGGAGAAGGCUAUGUUGGCCGGGCGACGGUUGUCCCGGUUUAAGCGUGUAGGCUGGUUUUCCAGGCAAAUCCGGAAAAUCAAGGCUGAGGCGUGAUGACGAGGCACUGCGGUGCUGAAGCAACAAAUGCCCUGCUUCCAGGAAAAGCCUCUAAGCAUCAGGUAACAUCAAAUCGUACCCCAAACCGACACAGGUGGUCAGGUAGAGAAUACCAAGGCGCUUGAGAGAACUCGGGUGAAGGAACUAGGCAAAAUGGUGCCGUAACUUCGGGAGAAGGCACGCUGAUAUGUAGGUGAAGUCCCUCGCGGAUGGAGCUGAAAUCAGUCGAAGAUACCAGCUGGCUGCAACUGUUUAUUAAAAACACAGCACUGUGCAAACACGAAAGUGGACGUAUACGGUGUGACGCCUGCCCGGUGCCGGAAGGUUAAUUGAUGGGGUUAGCGCAAGCGAAGCUCUUGAUCGAAGCCCCGGUAAACGGCGGCCGUAACUAUAACGGUCCUAAGGUAGCGAAAUUCCUUGUCGGGUAAGUUCCGACCUGCACGAAUGGCGUAAUGAUGGCCAGGCUGUCUCCACCCGAGACUCAGUGAAAUUGAACUCGCUGUGAAGAUGCAGUGUACCCGCGGCAAGACGGAAAGACCCCGUGAACCUUUACUAUAGCUUGACACUGAACAUUGAGCCUUGAUGUGUAGGAUAGGUGGGAGGCUU
Molecule: ribosomal RNA, 1968 nt
Filed under: Escherichia coli
Lineage: Bacteria; Pseudomonadati; Pseudomonadota; Gammaproteobacteria; Enterobacterales; Enterobacteriaceae
Description: partial 23S ribosomal RNA
Rfam family: Bacterial large subunit ribosomal RNA
Source: RNAcentral